CCCCUCUCAGGAUCACAGCUGGAGAGUUUUUAGUACUCUAUCAGUCUCGACUAAGGGAGGGGGAGUGAAGCAGAGGCCUAUCCAUUCAAUUUCUAGCUUGGGGAGUGGCUAGCUAGUGGAAGACAAUCUGCUACAAGU
Small nucleolar RNA from Ornithorhynchus anatinus (platypus), 138 nucleotides. Lineage: Eukaryota; Metazoa; Chordata; Mammalia; Monotremata; Ornithorhynchidae. The record is from RefSeq and is a predicted model, not a curated record.